AUUGAACGCUGGCGGCAUGCCUUACACAUGCAAGUCGAACGGCAGCACGGGUGCUUGCACCUGGUGGCGAGUGGCGAACGGGUGAGUAAUACAUCGGAACGUACCUUAUCGUGGGGGAUAACGCAGCGAAAGCUGUGCUAAUACCGCAUACGCCCUGAGGGGGAAAGCGGGGGAUCGAAAGACCUCGCGCGAUUAGAGCGGCCGAUGCCUGAUUAGCUUGUUGGUGGGGUAAAAGCCCACCAAGGCGACGAUCAGUAGCUGGUCUGCGAGGACGAUCAGCCACACUGGGACUGAGACACGGCCCAGACUCCUACGGGAGGCAGCAGUGGGGAAUUUUGGACAAUGGGGCAACCCUGAUCCAGCAAUGCCGCGUGAGUGAAGAAGGCCUUCGGGUUGUAAAGCUCUUUUGUCAGGGAAGAAACACCGGCUCUAACACAGUCCGGGAAUGACGGUACCUGAAGAAUAAGCACCGGCUAACUACGUGCCAGCCGCCGCAGUAA
RNAcentral lists this ribosomal RNA (500 nucleotides) under uncultured bacterium. RNAcentral's name for it is "partial 16S ribosomal RNA". It matches the Rfam family "Bacterial small subunit ribosomal RNA", at positions 30 to 523 of the family's 1533-position model. The record is from RNAcentral.